UCGAGCGGACAGAUGGGAGCUUGCUCCCUGAUGUUAGCGGCGGACGGGUGAGUAACACGUGGGUAACCUGCCUGUAAGACUGGGAUAACUCCGGGAAACCGGGGCUAAUACCGGAUGGUUGUUUGAACCGCAUGGUUCAAACAUAAAAGGUGGCUUCGGCUACCACUUACAGAUGGACCCGCGGCGCAUUAGCUAGUUGGUGAGGUAACGGCUCACCAAGGCAACGAUGCGUAGCCGACCUGAGAGGGUGAUCGGCCACACUGGGACUGAGACACGGCCCAGACUCCUACGGGAGGCAGCAGUAGGGAAUCUUCCGCAAUGGACGAAAGUCUGACGGAGCAACGCCGCGUGAGUGAUGAAGGUUUUCGGAUCGUAAAGCUCUGUUGUUAGGGAAGAACAAGUACCGUUCGAAUAGGGCGGUACCUUGACGGUACCUAACCAGAAAGCCACGGCUAACUACGUGCCAGCAGCCGCGGUAAUACGUAGGUGGCAAGCGUUGUCCGGAAUUAUUGGGCGUAAAGGGCUCGCAGGCGGUUUCUUAAGUCUGAUGUGAAAGCCCCCGGCUCAACCGGGGAGGGUCAUUGGAAACUGGGGAACUUGAGUGCAGAAGAGGAGAGUGGAAUUCCACGUGUAGCGGUGAAAUGCGUAGAGAUGUGGAGGAACACCAGUGGCGAAGGCGACUCUCUGGUCUGUAACUGACGCUGAGGAGCGAAAGCGUGGGGAGCGAACAGGAUUAGAUACCCUGGUAGUCCACGCCGUAAACGAUGAGUGCUAAGUGUUAGGGGGUUUCCGCCCCUUAGUGCUGCAGCUAACGC
This 815-nucleotide ribosomal RNA is filed under the name Bacillus subtilis. Its description in RNAcentral is "bacterial SSU rRNA". It matches the Rfam family "Bacterial small subunit ribosomal RNA", at positions 62 to 858 of the family's 1533-position model. Lineage: Bacteria; Bacillati; Bacillota; Bacilli; Caryophanales; Bacillaceae. The record is from RNAcentral.